GCCCAGGGCAGGGUUCACAGAGCUAUUUUCAGUUCUCUUGCAGGAUCUCCUUCCCAGCCUUCAGAAAUUGCCGGUCUGGGAGUUGGGGGCAAGGAGAAGAUCCUGAAUUAGACCUUUACGAGAAGCACAGUUUUGUCUUCAGUUUCCUCUCCCCCCACCCGGAAUGGCCUGAGCCGAAGCCAGCUCCCUCCGAGAAGUCAUUACCGCCUGACUUGCGUUUGAUAUUUAGACACCUUGGUCACAACAUCUUGCAUUCUCUCGGGAUGCUGAUUUCUAACUGCUCUUUGGCCUUUCCUGCAUUGGUCCUCCUCAGGCAGGGGAUCCCUGCUCUUCUAUAUUAGUGAGAAAACCAAGGCUCAGAGAAACUGUGGAUUUUCUAAGGAUGCUGGCUCCCCGUCCCCUGUCCACCAUGAGUCAAAGCAAUGUGAGUCCCUCACCAGAUGCAACUGCCCAGUCUUGGACUUUCCAGUGACCAGAAUCAUGAGCCAAAUAAACCUCUUUUCUUUAUGAA
Molecule: long non-coding RNA, 511 nt
Filed under: Homo sapiens (human)
Lineage: Eukaryota; Metazoa; Chordata; Mammalia; Primates; Hominidae
Description: HSALNT0381862
Source: RNAcentral